CCUACGGGAGGCAGCAGUGAGGAAUAUUGGUCAAUGGACGAGAGUCUGAACCAGCCAAGUAGCGUGAAGGAUGACUGCCCUAUGGGUUGUAAACUUCUUUUAUAAAGGAAUAAAACGAGGCACGUGUGCUUUUUUGUAUGUACUUUAUGAAUAAGGAUCGGCUAACUCCGUGCCAGCAGCCGCGGUAAUACGGAGGAUCCGAGCGUUAUCCGGAUUUAUUGGGUUUAAAGGGCGCGUAGACGGGUUGUUAAGUCAGUUGUGAAAGUUUGUGGCUCAACCGUAAAAUUGCAAUUGAUACUGGCAGUCUUGAGUACGGUUGAGGUAGGCGGAAUUCGUGGUGUAGCGGUGAAAUGCUUAGAUAUCACGAAGAACCCCGAUUGCGAAGGCAGCUUACUAAGCUAUGACUGACGUUGAUGCACGAAAGUGUGGGGAUCAAACAGGAUUAGAUACCCGUGUAGUC
This 460-nucleotide ribosomal RNA is filed under the name uncultured bacterium. RNAcentral's name for it is "partial 16S ribosomal RNA". It matches the Rfam family "Bacterial small subunit ribosomal RNA", at positions 338 to 795 of the family's 1533-position model. The record is from RNAcentral.